Molecule: ribosomal RNA, 328 nt
Filed under: uncultured eukaryote
Lineage: Eukaryota
Description: partial 18S ribosomal RNA
Rfam family: Eukaryotic small subunit ribosomal RNA
Source: RNAcentral
CCCUUAGAUGUUCUGGGCUGCACGCGCGCUACACUGAAGCGUUCAACGAGUAUUCACCUUGCCCGGGAGGGUUGGGUAAUCUUUUGAAAACGCUUCGUGAUGGGGAUAGAUUAUUGCAAUUAUUAAUCUUCAACGAGGAAUUCCCAGUAAGUGCGGGUCAUCAGCUCGCGUUGAUUACGUCCCUGCCCUUUGUACACACCGCCCGUCGCUGCCCGGAACUGAGCCGUUUCGAGAAGACUGAGGAUUGCUGACUUGAGGCCUUCACGGGCUUCUAGUCGGUGAAAAGCAAUUUAAUCGCAGCGGCUUGAACCGGGCAAAAGUCGUAACA